UGCUGGAGGUAUCAGAAGUGCGAAUGCUGACAUAAGUAACGAUAAAGCGGGUGAAAAGCCCGCUCGCCGGAAGACCAAGGGUUCCUGUCCAACGUUAAUCGGGGCAGGGUGAGUCGACCCCUAAGGCGAGGCCGAAAGGCGUAGUCGAUGGGAAACGGGUUAAUAUUCCCGUACUUGGUGUUACUGCGAAGGGGGGACGGAGAAGGCUAUGUUGGCCGGGCGACGGUUGUCCCGGUUUAAGCGUGUAGGUGUGUGUUCCAGGUAAAUCCGGUUCACUUUAACACUGAGGCGUGACGACGAGGCACUACGGUGCUGAAGCAACAAAUGCCCUGCUUCCAGGAAAAGCCUCUAAGCAUCAGGUAACAUCAAAUCGUACCCCAAACCGACACAGGUGGUCAGGUAGAGAAUACCAAGGCGCUUGAGAGAACUCGGGUGAAGGAACUAGGCAAAAUGGUGCCGUAACUUCGGGAGAAGGCACGCUGACACGUAGGUGAAGUGAUUUACUCAUGGAGCUGAAGUCAGUCGAAGAUACCAGCUGGCUGCAACUGUUUAUUAAAAACACAGCACUGUGCAAACACGAAAGUGGACGUAUACGGUGUGACGCCUGCCCGGUGCCGGAAGGUUAAUUGAUGGGGUCAGCGCAAGCGAAGCUCCUGAUCGAAGCCCCGGUAAACGGCGGCCGUAACUAUAACGGUCCUAAGGUAGCGAAAUUCCUUGUCGGGUAAGUUCCGACCUGCACGAAUGGCGUAAUGAUGGCCAGGCUGUCUCCACCCGAGACUCAGUGAAAUUGAACUCGCUGUGAAGAUGCAGUGUACCCGCGGCAAGACGGAAAGACCCCGUGAACCUUUACUAUAGCUUGACACUGAACAUUGAGCCUUGAUGUGUAGGAUAGGUGGGAGGCUUUGAAGUGUGGACGCCAGUCUGCAUGGAGCCGACCUUGAAAUACCACCCUUUAAUGUUUGAUGUUCUAACGUGGACCCGUUACCCGGGUUGCGGACAGUGUCUGGUGGGUAGUUUGACUGGGGCGGUCUCCUCCUAAAGAGUAACGGAGGAGCACGAAGGUUGGCUAAUCCUGGUCGGACAUCAGGAGGUUAGUGCAAUGGCAUAAGCCAGCUUGACUGCGAGCGUGACGGCGCGAGCAGGUGCGAAAGCAGGUCAUAGUGAUCCGGUGGUUCUGAAUGGAAGGGCCAUCGCUCAACGGAUAAAAGGUACUCCGGGGAUAACAGGCUGAUACCGCCCAAGAGUUCAUAUCGACGGCGGUGUUUGGCACCUCGAUGUCGGCUCAUCACAUCCUGGGGCUGAAGUAGGUCCCAAGGGUAUGGCUGUUCGCCAUUUAAAGUGGUACGCGAGCUGGGUUUAGAACGUCGUGAGACAGUUCGGUCCCUAUCUGCCGUGGGCGCUGGAGAACUGAGGGGGGCUGCUCCUAGUACGAGAGGACCGGAGUGGACGCAUCACUGGUGUUCGGGUUGUCAUGCCAAUGGCACUGCCCGGUAGCUAAAUGCGGAAGAGAUAAGUGCUGAAAGCAUCUAAGCACGAAACUUGCCCCGAGAUGAGUUCUCCCUGAGACUUAGAGUCUCCUGAAGGAACGUUGAAGACGACGACGUUGAUAGGCCGGGUGUGUAAGCGCAGCGAUGCGUUGAGCUAACCGGUACUAAUGAACCGUGAGGCUUAACCUUAC
This 1678-nucleotide ribosomal RNA is filed under the name Salmonella enterica subsp. enterica serovar Heidelberg str. RI-11-013193. Its description in RNAcentral is "bacterial LSU rRNA". It matches the Rfam family "Bacterial large subunit ribosomal RNA", at positions 1271 to 2925 of the family's 2925-position model. Lineage: Bacteria; Pseudomonadati; Pseudomonadota; Gammaproteobacteria; Enterobacterales; Enterobacteriaceae. RNAcentral also lists the same sequence under 7 other names. The record is from RNAcentral.